Molecule: ribosomal RNA, 429 nt
Filed under: uncultured Sinobacteraceae bacterium
Lineage: Bacteria; Pseudomonadati; Pseudomonadota; Gammaproteobacteria; Nevskiales; Nevskiaceae
Description: bacterial SSU rRNA
Rfam family: Bacterial small subunit ribosomal RNA
Source: RNAcentral
UGGGGAAUAUUGGACAAUGGGGGAAACCCUGAUCCAGCGACGCCGCGUGUGUGAAGAAGGCCUGCGGGUUGUAAAGCACUUUCGAUGGGAACGAAAUAUGCCGGGCUAAUACCCCGGUAGGCUGACGUUACUCAAUGAAGAAGCACCGGCUAACUCUGUGCCAGCAGCCGCGGUAAUACAGAGGGUGCGAGCGUUAAUCGGAAUUACUGGGCGUAAAGCGCACGUAGGCGGCUUCGUAAGUCGGAUGUGAAAUCCCCGGGCUCAACCUGGGAACUGCAUUCGAGACUGCGGGGCUCGAGUAUGGAAGAGGAAGGCGGAAUUCCAGGUGUAGCGGUGAAAUGCGUAGAUAUCUGGAGGAACAUCAGUGGCGAAGGCGGCCUUCUGGUCCAAUACUGACGCUCAGGUGCGAAAGCGUGGGGAGCAAACAGG